CGGACGGUGAGUAACGCGUGGAAAACCUGCCGUAUACUGGGGGAUAACACUUAGAAAUAGGUGCUAAUACCGCAUAAGCGCACAGCUUCGCAUGAAGUGGUGUGAAAAACUCUGGUGGUAUACGAUGGUUCCGCGUCUGAUUAGCUUGUUGGUGGGGUAAUGGCUCACCAAGGCGACGAUCAGUAGCCGGCCUGAGAGGGUGAACGGCCACAUUGGGACUGAGACACGGCCCAAACUCCUACGGGAGGCAGCAG
RNAcentral lists this ribosomal RNA (254 nucleotides) under uncultured bacterium. RNAcentral's name for it is "partial 16S ribosomal RNA". It matches the Rfam family "Bacterial small subunit ribosomal RNA", at positions 99 to 354 of the family's 1533-position model. The record is from RNAcentral.